AGGAUAACCGCUGAAAGCAUCUAAGCGGGAAGCCCCUCCCAAGAUGAGUUCUCACUGGGACUUUAAGUUCCCUGAAGGGCCGUCGAAGACUACGACGUUGAUAGGCACGGUGUGGAAGCGCAGUAAUGUGUGUAGCUAACGUGUACUAAUUGCCCGUGAGGCUUGACCAU
Molecule: non-coding RNA, 170 nt
Filed under: Crenothrix polyspora
Lineage: Bacteria; Pseudomonadati; Pseudomonadota; Gammaproteobacteria; Methylococcales; Crenotrichaceae
Description: Bacterial large subunit ribosomal RNA
Rfam family: Bacterial large subunit ribosomal RNA
Source: Rfam by way of RNAcentral